This 264-nucleotide long non-coding RNA is filed under the name Lathyrus oleraceus (garden pea). RNAcentral's name for it is "Pisum sativum (pea) long non-coding RNA (PSAT_LNC037750)". The record is from RNAcentral. Lineage: Eukaryota; Viridiplantae; Streptophyta; Magnoliopsida; Fabales; Fabaceae.
UUGUUAGUAAACGUGCAUGAUGGUCUUUUGUCAUCAUCGAAACUUGAUGUCGUAUGUUGUAUGACACUUUGUCUUUACAUACUCCCCCUUUUUGAUGAUGACAACCUGUAUAGAUCAACGUGACAAACAGAAUGCGGUAUUGACACAUUUUGCACACUCCCCCUUUCUUUUGUAAUCUAAGGCCAUUUGCAGAAAGCGAAAGCGACUGUUAGUUGUGGGCAUUUUGUCAGACUGUUAGUUGUGAAUAUUUUGUCAGCAUUUUUC